AGAGCUGGGGGAAACCCAGGGCAGGUCAUUAGGUCACAGGGUAGAGGCAGGGAGGGACAGAGAAAGAUCGAACCAUCAGAUGCCCCACCCUCCGCCCUUGAGGCCAUCCCUCUGUCUUUGCUUUAGCUCAAGCCAGUGGAGAAUGGUGUUUCCUGGGAAGUCUGGCCUCUGUUCCCAAGGCCACAGUUUCUUCUGGUUUGGCCGCUCAUCAGUCCCUCACCUCUUGUUACUCAGGGAGAUGGGCAGGCUUGGCCACCAUGUUACCAGGCAGUGUGCUAAACAUACUAUGUGCAUAAUCUGGUUCUUAUUUUUAAAACUUAACUUACUAUUAUCAUGGGCAUGUAUGGUGUGUGUGUCUAGGUCAGAGGGUAAGUUUCAGGAGUCAAUUCUCCUCUUCCACCGCGGGUUCUAGGGAGUGAGCUUAGGCCCCCAGGCUUGGUGGCACCCGCUUUUACUGAUCCAUCUCACCAGCCUUUCAAGUCUCACAAUCACCCUAGUGGCGCGUGGCUACUAUCAUGAUGUCUGAUCUUGGGUGGGGAAAUUGACUCAAGAGAGGGUGGUCACGUUGCUUAAAUGGGCCAUAAGGCUAAUAAACGCAGAAGCCAGGAUUCCACCGGAUGUCACCCCAGUUCCACAAUCUGGUUCCUCUGCUAGUCCACGGGCCAGCAAAUGAUGAUCUGAUGCCCUCCCCGAUGCCAAUCUGUGUAGCUUUCUCUACCAUCUCAACUUUCCAAAGCACAGAGGCACAUCUGGAUGAAGGAGAUCAGAGAAAGAGACCCCUAGGCCCGUGGGCUGUCAGGGAAGGCAUCUGGAAGGGGAAGGCCAUCUUGGACUUCAGAGGCAUUUGCUUGGCAGACCAGGCCAAGGAAGAAGAAAGAACGUGCAUGUUCUCCUUAAGCCACAAAGAGCAUCCCUUUGCAGACUCCAGUCUGGCAGUAUGAUUUGGAGACCACAGACAUCAUUCCAUGUCCCUUGGAGACUGGAGGUAGAGGGUCAACUCUGUCAGGAUCCCUAGAGACCCUGUGGAAGGGACAGGAUGACACUGAAAACUACUUCUGACGACUCGCAACCCAGAGCUGGAUGACACUCUCUGGGAAGGAGAUGUCUAAAAGUUGCAAGGCUGAGAAUACGCUGAACACAUUCCGCCGCUUCUGGAAAGUUUCUGCUGUUAUAGCCAUUUGCAAAUUUCUCCCAAGAUGAAAAUUCAAAACAAAGUGGGAAGUAAAUGGACCUUGUGAGCAAUGG
Molecule: long non-coding RNA, 1245 nt
Organism: Peromyscus leucopus (white-footed mouse)
Lineage: Eukaryota; Metazoa; Chordata; Mammalia; Rodentia; Cricetidae
Exons: 4
Source: RefSeq, a predicted model, not a curated record